Molecule: ribosomal RNA, 373 nt
Filed under: uncultured organism
Description: partial 16S ribosomal RNA
Rfam family: Bacterial small subunit ribosomal RNA
Source: RNAcentral
GUAGGUGGCAAGCGUUGUCCGGAAUUAUUGGGCGUAAAGCGCGCGCAGGCGGUCCUUUAAGUCUGAUGUGAAAGCCCACGGGCUCAACCGUGGAGGGUCAUUGGAAACUGGGGGACUUGAGUACAGAAGAGGAAAGCGGAAUUCCAAGUGUAGCGGUGAAAUGCGUAGAGAUUUGGAGGAACACCAGUGGCGAAGGCGGCUUUCUGGUCUGUAACUGACGCUGAGGCGCGAAAGCGUGGGGAGCAAACAGGAUUAGAUACCCUGGUAGUCCACGCCGUAAACGAUGAGUGCUAAGUGUUAGGGGGUUUCCGCUCCUUAGUGCUGCAGCCAACGCAUUAAGCACUCCGCCUGGGGAGUACGGCCGCAAAGGCUG